RNAcentral lists this ribosomal RNA (429 nucleotides) under Gemmatimonadota bacterium. RNAcentral's name for it is "Gemmatimonadetes bacterium partial 16S ribosomal RNA". It matches the Rfam family "Bacterial small subunit ribosomal RNA", at positions 355 to 776 of the family's 1533-position model. Lineage: Bacteria; Pseudomonadati; Gemmatimonadota. The record is from RNAcentral.
UAGGGAAUCUUCGGCAAUGGACGAAAGUCUGACCGAGCAACGCCGCGUGAGUGAAGAAGGUUUUCGGAUCGUAAAACUCUGUUGUUAGAGAAGAACAAGGACGUUAUUAACUGAACGUCCCCUGACGGUAUCUAACCAGAAAGCCACGGCUAACUACGUGCCAGCAGCCGCGGUAAUACGUAGGUGGCAAGCGUUGUCCGGAUUUAUUGGGCGUAAAGCGAGCGCAGGCGGUUUCUUAAGUCUGAUGUGAAAGCCCCCGGCUCAACCGGGGAGGGUCAUUGGAAACUGGGAGACUUGAGUGCAGAAGAGGAGAGUGGAAUUCCAUGUGUAGCGGUGAAAUGCGUAGAUAUAUGGAGGAACACCAGUGGCGAAGGCGGCUCUCUGGUCUGUAACUGACGCUGAGGCUCGAAAGCGUGGGGAGCAAACAGG